GGCAGGGGUCUGCAAAAAGACGGGUCUUGAGGGAGGAAAGAGCUCCUUCAGGAGAAGGAGGCUGCUGUUGUGUGAAUUAAAUGAGGAAACAAGAUGAACAAAAUCUGUUAACUCAGAGAUUAAACCCACCAAAGGCUCUGAUAAAGCAGCAGAGAUCCACUCAGGCCGUAAGUCCACAGGCACGCCAGAUAGGAAGAUGUAUGCUCAAAGAGAAACACAGCCUUAGAGAAAAACAGAACAUGUGGCACGGAAGCUAACUUUACUUUUCCCGAGUACCUGCUGUUUAGUCAAUUGAGAUACUGAUGGGAAGAAAUAUAGCAGGUAGAAGAGACUACCUCCAGGAAAGAGCAGCUGUCCGUUUUUGUCUUCUGGAUACGGAUAAAGCACUGUAGGGACUAUCAUCAGGGUUUCAUCAACCAUAAUAAUCUUGCUGUAUUUGCUGAGUGGCCUAAAGAUGACAUCAAACAAUGUACAGUAGCUGACCAUUUACUCUUCCAAACCUUUCUUGCUGGGAUUUCCGUGAACUGAACUUUUGGAGGAACACAUUAGAUGGCUGAUUAAAGGUCUGUCUUUGGAGUCAUCUGAGCAACUGGUGAAUCAAGAUGCCUCUGAGAAGCUCACAGGCAGGAUCUGAAGGCACCAGCCACCUCCAUCUGUCCCCAGAACCUGGUCCUUAAAGGCAUACUGCCUUUAAAGCUGUGCAGAAUCUUGCUUGCCACCUCAGGAAAAGUGACCUGCAGAGCAGUGAGGUGUGGAUCUCAGCAGUGUUCUCUUCUCUCAGCAUUGUUACUGUGGGAGAAGUCUCAUCUCUAGAUGAAAAGUCAACAACUCAUAGGACUGGUCUGUCCACCUAGCAUAUCACAGCUCUCUUACAGCCCACCAGCCAUGUGUGUUGGCUGGCUCAUUAAAGCUCUAUGGACUGCCUUCCUGGAACAGCAAAAAUUGGGGAUUGGGAAGCCACCAUGAGCUACUAGUUUUGCAGGUCUGCCAUCAAAUAUUUCUGGAUAAUAUGCAGGGGCAUCAUAGGAACUGUUACACUCAGUUUACUUAAAUAAAAGCAGCAACACCAGUUAAAGGCAGUGUUUAUAUACCUGUCCUCAUUUCAUGGAGGACAGGUCUAUUUCAUGGACAGGUCUAUUCAUGGCUACUAGUCUGGUGGCUACAGGCCACCUCCAGCCUCAGAGGCAUGAUGCCUCUCAA
Molecule: long non-coding RNA, 1200 nt
Organism: Hemicordylus capensis (graceful crag lizard)
Lineage: Eukaryota; Metazoa; Chordata; Lepidosauria; Squamata; Cordylidae
Exons: 6
Source: RefSeq, a predicted model, not a curated record